ACUGGUGGCUCUGGAACAGAAGGGCACAGCCUGAGCACUGCUAGAAAACCCUCCCAGGACGAUGUUUUGAAGGAGGAACAAGGAAGAGAAUGCGGCAAGCUGGGGUUACAGACGCCUGCUGCCACGCAUGGCCUUUGGCGUGGGUCCUGCGUGUCAACCUGCUCAGCAGGAGCUUUCACCUGCCCAGUCAUCUUGCCAGGCCAAUACUUCUUUAAGGUGGUUGGAAGCCAUAUAAACACUACUGGAGUUAGUCGCCUGACAUUCUAUGCCAGACUUGGUGACAACGGACAAGACUGUGAGAACACAAACCUUCGGCACGUGAAGCAGAGGUGGAGGGACCACAUGGCUACAGCCAGGAAGCCAGAGCCUGACAGAGCAAGGCAGGCACAGAAAGGCAGGCUCCCCCGGGGAACCUUCCUGCUGGCACGGUCCUCACACUGGACCUGUCAAUCACAGUGCUCACUCUUAGCUCAGAGAGACGCAAGGCCUGGCUCUGGGGUGUGGGGUUUUCAUUACGCAGUCAAGCUAGAACUAACAAUUCUCCUGCCUCACAUGGAAUUGUAAAUAUGUGCCAGCUGGAGCCUCUUCACAUUGGAUUCCUACGUAAGCCUCUGUGCACGUGACAAUAGGGACUGCAUGGCCACAGGGAGGCUUUCCUGUGACCCUCUAAGCACAGCAACUGAGGGAACCCACAAGGAAACAAGACUCUUUGGCUCCUUUGAGAUUCUGCUUGCCUGAGCUGCAGGCAAAGGCUGGACCAUGGUGAGGCCCAGCUACUCGCAAAGGUCACUCAACAAUGACAAGAGCCCAGCAGGGUCAGGACAAAAGAGGGAGGAUAGGCCAGGGUCCCAGAGGGCUUUUGGCCCAGUCCAUCACUAGUAUCCUCUGCAUGGAUGCAGGUAUGAACCUCAGAUGCCAGCGUCACACAUGGGCACUGGACCUGAGACAUGUUUAGAGAGGAUCUUAAAAUAAUCCAAUCAAACCACCAAAUUAUCUGCUCGUGGCAGAAGUGCGCCCGUGUGGCUGUUCUUGUGAAGAAACAGCUCUUUGAUCAUCUCAAGAGAUAAACUCCGGGCUUCCUCAGCUGCCCAGACAGCUCUGGGCAGAGCAAAGAGGCUACCUGUCUCUUUUUAGCAAGACAUGGUCACCAGUGGUCCACCUGGGAGAACUCAGGCAGACAGUGGACAAGAAAGGGACAGCAAGUUCAACAUGGUACUGGGACUUCUUACCCACAUAUUCCGAGAGGAAGACGACAAAGAACGGAGUGACCAGGUCAUUAAUUCCCUGGACAUACCCACUGGCGGGGUGUCGGAUGGCCCAGAUAAAGAGAAUUCGUUCAAAGAUCUAGGAAGACGAG
This 1357-nucleotide long non-coding RNA is filed under the name Mus pahari (shrew mouse). Its description in RNAcentral is "TBC1 domain family, member 22B, opposite strand (MGP_PahariEiJ_G0003095.1)". Lineage: Eukaryota; Metazoa; Chordata; Mammalia; Rodentia; Muridae. The record is from RNAcentral.